UGAGGAAUAUUGGUCAAUGGGCGAGAGCCUGAACCAGCCAAGUAGCGUGCAGGAUGACGGCCCUAUGGGUUGUAAACUGCUUUUAUGCGGGGAUAAAGUGUGCGACGUGUCGUGCAUUGCAGGUACCGCAUGAAUAAGGACCGGCUAAUUCCGUGCCAGCAGCCGCGGUAAUACGGAAGGUCCGGGCGUUAUCCGGAUUUAUUGGGUUUAAAGGGAGCGUAGGCCGCCAGAUAAGCGUGUUGUGAAAUGUACCGGCUCAACCGGUGAAUUGCAGCGCGAACUGUUUGGCUUGAGUGCACGGUAAGCAGGCGGAAUUCAUGGUGUAGCGGUGAAAUGCUUAGAUAUCAUGAAGAACUCCGAUUGCGAAGGCAGCUUGCUGCAGUGCGACUGACGCUGAUGCUCGAAGGUGCGGGUAUCAAACAGG
RNAcentral lists this ribosomal RNA (424 nucleotides) under Verrucomicrobiota bacterium. Its description in RNAcentral is "Verrucomicrobia bacterium partial 16S ribosomal RNA". It matches the Rfam family "Bacterial small subunit ribosomal RNA", at positions 355 to 776 of the family's 1533-position model. The record is from RNAcentral. Lineage: Bacteria; Pseudomonadati; Verrucomicrobiota. RNAcentral also lists the same sequence under 1 other name.